UGCCUUGAAGAUCGGAGUGCUUGCACUCUGUGAAACAAGAUACAGGCUAGCGGCGGACGGGUGAGUAACACGUGGGUAACCUGCCCAAGAGAUCGGGAUAACACCUGGAAACAGAUGCUAAUACCGGAUAACAACAGGUGAUGCCUAUCAACUGUUUAAAAGAUGGUUCUGCUAUCACUCUUGGAUGGACCUGCGGUGCAUUAGCUAGUUGGUAGGGUAACGGCCUACCAAGGCGAUGAUGCAUAGCCGAGUUGAGAGACUGAUCGGCCACAUUGGGACUGAGACACGGCCCAAACUCCUACGGGAGGCAGCAGUAGGGAAUCUUCCACAAUGGACGCAAGUCUGAUGGAGCAACGCCGCGUGAGUGAAGAAGGGUUUCGGCUCGUAAAGCUCUGUUGUUGGUGAAGAAGGACAGGGGUAGUAACUGACCUUUGUUUGACGGUAAU
RNAcentral lists this ribosomal RNA (446 nucleotides) under uncultured Lactobacillus sp. Its description in RNAcentral is "bacterial SSU rRNA". It matches the Rfam family "Bacterial small subunit ribosomal RNA", at positions 56 to 479 of the family's 1533-position model. Lineage: Bacteria; Bacillati; Bacillota; Bacilli; Lactobacillales; Lactobacillaceae. The record is from RNAcentral.